UUUCAUGGUGUUGCUUCUACAGGUACGACCGAGGAGGAGGCAGAGGUGGGUAUGAUGAUGACCGGCACCACGGCAGGCAUCGUGCUUCAGGUGAGGAUUUGCCCUUCUUCAUUCAGAAUUCAAUCCUAUCGAUCAGUCUCCAAAAGUAAGUAUACGGAACAUCAAACCAUCGGUGGGAAAAGUUUACGAGUGCUCGGCUGCACCAUUAGCUUUCAUCCAAGGGGUGCUCUUAGUUGCAGUUCGAAAUUUGACCACCUAACCGUAUCUGUCUACCAAUUUGUUAUCAUGAUUCAUCAUUUCUUUUUUACCUUUAGAAAAGACUCCUUGUUCAUUCAGUGAAAAAUCUGAUGACGGCUCAAUUAUGAUAUCCAGAUUGGCCUGAUUCUAGAUUUGGGGCACCGAAUGAUGGUCCUGGGAAUACCCAAAGGUAUAUAUGUAUAUAAUUACCUACACCUACAUGUUUAUUUCCCUGCUGUGGUUAGUCUUUUGGGUUUCUAGACACUCUUAUUUUUUUCUCCUGGGCACCAUAAAUAUGUAGGAAUCGUCAGUAUUGUAAAAAAAUAUGGAAAUUAAGUUGUCUACUAUGCUCUUAGCCACAGUUAACAGAUAGAGAAUCUUCUUAGAAAUUCUCCAUAUUUGAUGUUCGAAAGCAAACUGAUCCUUGGCUAUAUGCACGUUGGAUUUUCGAUUCUUCAUUACUCUUUAUUAGCCACCAGCAAGCCUUGUGCUCUUUUUACAGUCAGUACUACUACCACCACAAAAGGCUCGUCCCAGUCGUAUAGCAGCUAAACUAUCGAAGGCAGGAUUAGUGUAUGUUUUGGAUACAGUCAAAUGGAGAAUCUGAUGAGAAUAUUCUUUAUCUGUUAACAAUAGGUAGUUUGGGCAUUGACUUUAUUUGAAUUAUUUCUCAGUGUUUUUUAUCAAAAUGAUAAACACGAGGCCAACUUUGCUGGUUAUUUUAUUGUUUGCAUGUUAUAGUCCACUAUUUUGAUGUGCAUGCUACUAUAUUGAGCGCAAAUCUACAUUAAAAAUUCCGUGUAAAAAUUUGAGAUAUAUGUAGUUGUGAACUAUUUUAGUUUCUUGCAUAUUUGCAUAGAUAUUCAUGCUACACGAUUUACACUAAUCCUUUUUUAAUGUAUUCAUCUUUGCCAUUUUCAUCAUAUCUGCAAUAAGUUCCUUUAUUGAUUGGUACUUGUUCAAAAGAGGGACAUGAAUGGAUGGCCCAUUUUGUUUGGAGUAGUUGGGUUAAAUCAUAUAUUUUUCCACCUGGUGUGAACAUGCAUUUUACCACUACAAAAAGUCAUUCUUAAAGGUUGAUGGAUUUAAAUUAUAUACAUUAUAUGUCCUGUACAAAGAAGAGCAAAUUGGUGCAGUGAGUGUGGUGGAUAGUGUGUCACUCAAACUGCAUCGAUUAGUAUUUUUGUGUGGAGAACACAAGUCAUGUUUUGGCACCAUAUCUUGCAAGUGUACUUAAUUGUUAUGGCAUGAUACGAUCCCUGAUUUCUCAAGAACACAUUACACCUUAUGGAGCACAUAGAAAUUUGAAUACGUGGAUGUGGAAAUCAGGUUUUGACUAUGCAUUAGAAGGUUAGAUGGUCCAGGUCUAUUAUGUACUGGUAUUAGUGCUAUAUAUCUACAUUGUCUAACUUUAACUUAUUAGUUCAAUAUUUUGGAUUCCACAUCGUUAACCACCUGGUGCGGCUCCUCCAUCAAUUCGGUAAUUUCAAAGUCUAAGCUAGGUGGACUGUGAAGUACAAAAUUACUAAGAAAUUAAUUACACCGGGUCAUAAAGAUUCUCUUGCUUGGUAAAGUUUUUGGUUGAAAGUUCUAAGACGAUGAUACUGUUACAAUCCGAUGGAGCUGUGCUAAUCUCCUGGCUCCUUGCCCUGAUGGACACCACACAACUGCACUGCAACCUGCAGUUCUUUCCCUGCUCACCAUGACCCGCCUCCUCAUCUUUAUCCGAGAUAAAGGGUAACGUAGACCAUCUCCUCACCAUUGUUAGUUCAUGUUUUCUCUCAACCCAGCCUUUGCAUGUGUGCUGAAGGAUUGUUUACCUGUUUACAAUUGGUGGCUUUCAUAAUUUUCUUCAUAGUUGUUUGUUCGAUAUAAUCUUUAAAAUUAGAAUUGCCUAGAACUUUACAUUACUUUAGAACUCAAUUUUCUUGGUAGCUGUUUGUUGGAUAUAAUCUUUAAAAUUUGAAUUGUCGAGAACUUCACAACUGUAGAUCUCGCUCCUCUUGGUGUUGCUCCUUAUCGAUUCCAAUUUUGCUAACUAAGCAGAACUUUUUCCCUAUUGCCUCCGAAAGCCCAAAGGAGUGUAUUGAUUAAUUUUAUUUACAGGUUUUCAUCGAGUCGGACAUGAUUCCAUUUUUAAAGUGUAGUUGGACAGUUCCAAGUAUUUGUUUUCAUCAUGUCGGGAUCUCGGAAAUAUUUGCUGGAGGAAGUACUGCAGUACUGAUAGAGGCUCUUUCUCUUAAUUUAGAUCACUUUGUUGGGCUUCUUUCAAAAUCACAUCCAUGCUAUUGAUGGUGUGAUUUCUCUAUUUUUUGCUUAUUUAGUACUCGCCACUCCUCUCUAAUUGCCUGUUGGUUAUCUCAUUUUUCCCUUUUUCUGUUGAGCAAUUUUUUCUAUUGCUGUGGUAGGCCGGAAUCAGUUUUUUGUUUAAAUCGUAGAUGAAUAGUCAGUUCUACAUAUAUGUAACAUAUGCUAUUUUUGUUGCCUCAUAUUAACAUGGGAAUCAAGGAAGUUUCUGCAAAUGUAUUCUUUUGGUUGUUUUGUGCCAUUUUUAUCCCUGUGAACAAUCUGAGAGUUUUAUUUAAAGUAAAUUCAUGGCCUGAACGGGCUGUAAAAUUCAUUAAUCAAAUAAGUGUUGUCUAACAAGUGUUAUUGAUAAAGCACGAGUUUGAGAAAAUGAACGAAACUGUGAAUCUGAUGAAGCUUCCUUACACGGCGAAGUGGGCGGAUGCGAAAAACAACAGGAGUUAGAGAAAGGCACACCUUGAGCUUACCAUUUCCUGAGUGCCAAAGAAAGGUUCAUUGGAAUUAUCAACUUUAUUCAAUGUGAGGUAUUAACAAGCUUUAGAGUUCAAGCUUUCCGUGAAUAGCUUUUAUGCAAAAUCUUAAUGUAAUUCAUAAUUUGGUAGAAACAAUUAUGUUUUAAUAAUUUUAAUUUAUGUAUAAUGUAUCUUCUGUAUGAACCAAGUCAUAUUCUCGCACUAUCAUUUUCUUCAUUGUCUUUUUUUGUUCGCCUUUUUCUCCCGUUGCA
Molecule: long non-coding RNA, 3268 nt
Filed under: Triticum aestivum (bread wheat)
Lineage: Eukaryota; Viridiplantae; Streptophyta; Magnoliopsida; Poales; Poaceae
Description: long non-coding RNA (TAES_LNC004560)
Source: RNAcentral